This 198-nucleotide unclassified non-coding RNA is filed under the name uncultured fungus. RNAcentral describes it as "sequence contains ITS1". Lineage: Eukaryota; Fungi. The record is from RNAcentral.
GUAUUUCGAAUUAAGUAAAUUCGUGAUAACAAAUGUUCAGACAAGUUAACUAAAGACGUUGGUAAAUAUAGAGGGGUUCUACACUUUAAAAAAGCGAGAGACCCUCUAAACGUUGCACACAAGGUGGAUAUGGAUUGUUUAAAAAGUGCCAUAAAACACUUGUUGUGAAUGAUCCUUCCGCAGGUUCACCUACGGAAA